GACGAACGCUGGCGGCGUGCUUAACACAUGCAAGUCGAACGAGAAUCUGUGGAAAGAGGAUUCGUCCAAUUGAAGCAGAGGACAGUGGCGGACGGGUGAGUAACGCGUGAGGAACCUGCCUUUCAGAGGGGGACAACAGUUGGAAACGACUGCUAAUACCGCAUAACAUAUAGAUGUCGCAUGGCAUUUAUAUCAAAGAUUUAUCGCUGAAAGAUGGCCUCGCGUCUGAUUAGCUAGUUGGUGAGGUAACGGCCCACCAAGGCGACGAUCAGUAGCCGGACUGAGAGGUUGAACGGCCACAUUGGGACUGAGAUACGGCCCAGACUCCUACGGGAGGCAGCAGUGGGGAAUAUUGGGCAAUGGGCGCAAGCCUGACCCAGCAACGCCGCGUGAAGGAAGAAGGCUUUCGGGUUGUAAACUUCUUUUGUCUAGGGACGAGUAGAAGACGGUACCUGACGAAUAAGCCACGGCUAACUACGUGCCAGCAGCCGACGG
Molecule: ribosomal RNA, 495 nt
Filed under: uncultured bacterium
Lineage: Bacteria
Description: bacterial SSU rRNA
Rfam family: Bacterial small subunit ribosomal RNA
Source: RNAcentral